This 670-nucleotide ribosomal RNA is filed under the name Variovorax sp. ahR6. RNAcentral describes it as "bacterial SSU rRNA". It matches the Rfam family "Bacterial small subunit ribosomal RNA", at positions 67 to 732 of the family's 1533-position model. The record is from RNAcentral. Lineage: Bacteria; Pseudomonadati; Pseudomonadota; Betaproteobacteria; Burkholderiales; Comamonadaceae.
CGGCAGCGCGGGAGCAAUCCUGGCGGCGAGUGGCGAACGGGUGAGUAAUACAUCGGAACGUGCCCAAUCGUGGGGGAUAACGCAGCGAAAGCUGUGCUAAUACCGCAUACGAUCUACGGAUGAAAGCAGGGGAUCGCAAGACCUUGCGCGAAUGGAGCGGCCGAUGGCAGAUUAGGUAGUUGGUGAGGUAAAGGCUCACCAAGCCUUCGAUCUGUAGCUGGUCUGAGAGGACGACCAGCCACACUGGGACUGAGACACGGCCCAGACUCCUACGGGAGGCAGCAGUGGGGAAUUUUGGACAAUGGGCGCAAGCCUGAUCCAGCCAUGCCGCGUGCAGGAUGAAGGCCUUCGGGUUGUAAACUGCUUUUGUACGGAACGAAACGGCCUUUUCUAAUAAAGAGGGCUAAUGACGGUACCGUAAGAAUAAGCACCGGCUAACUACGUGCCAGCAGCCGCGGUAAUACGUAGGGUGCAAGCGUUAAUCGGAAUUACUGGGCGUAAAGCGUGCGCAGGCGGUGAUGUAAGACAGUUGUGAAAUCCCCGGGCUCAACCUGGGAACUGCAUCUGUGACUGCAUCGCUGGAGUACGGCAGAGGGGGAUGGAAUUCCGCGUGUAGCAGUGAAAUGCGUAGAUAUGCGGAGGAACACCGAUGGCGAAGGCAAUCCCCUGG